UUGAACGCUGGCGGCAUGCCUUACACAUGCAAGUCGAACGGUAACAGGUCUUCGGAUGCUGACGAGUGGCGAACGGGUGAGUAAUACAUCGGAACGUGCCCGAUCGUGGGGGAUAACGAGGCGAAAGCUUUGCUAAUACCGCAUACGAUCUACGGAUGAAAGCGGGGGAUCUUCGGACCUCGCGCGGACGGAGCGGCCGAUGGCAGAUUAGGUAGUUGGUGGGAUAAAAGCUUACCAAGCCGACGAUCUGUAGCUGGUCUGAGAGGAUGAUCAGCCACACUGGGACUGAGACACGGCCCAGACUCCUACGGGAGGCAGCAGUGGGGAAUUUUGGACAAUGGGCGAAAGCCUGAUCCAGCCAUGCCGCGUGCAGGAUGAAGGCCUUCGGGUUGUAAACUGCUUUUGUACGGAACGAAAAGCCUCUUUCUAAUAAAGAGGGGUCAUGACGGUACCGGAAGAAUAAGCACCGGCUAACUACGUG
This 481-nucleotide ribosomal RNA is filed under the name uncultured bacterium. RNAcentral describes it as "partial 16S ribosomal RNA". It matches the Rfam family "Bacterial small subunit ribosomal RNA", at positions 30 to 507 of the family's 1533-position model. The record is from RNAcentral.